GAGCUGUCGAAGGUGGGACUGGCGAUUGGGACGAAGUCGUAACAAGGUAGCCGUACCGGAAGGUGCGGCUGGAUCACCUCCUUUCUAAGGAG
RNAcentral lists this ribosomal RNA (92 nucleotides) under Streptomyces albidoflavus. RNAcentral describes it as "partial 16S ribosomal RNA". It matches the Rfam family "Bacterial small subunit ribosomal RNA", at positions 1450 to 1533 of the family's 1533-position model. The record is from RNAcentral. Lineage: Bacteria; Bacillati; Actinomycetota; Actinomycetes; Kitasatosporales; Streptomycetaceae. RNAcentral also lists the same sequence under 4 other names.